GACAGGCGCGAGCGUGGAUCUCAACAAACAUUGACUGUAAGAGAGCUGAAACGAUGCUGACAUGGCCUCCAGCUGCUGCGUAGUGCAUAGGUGUACAGCCGUUCUUGUCUUUAGCCCCUGCCUUGGCUUUGUGGGACAACAAUGAAGUCACAUUUUGAAGUUUUCCCUCAGUUGCUGCGAGAUGACCACUUCAGAGAGCAGCAGUCAGGCACCUAGACUUUCUUGUCCUCCAACUCAAAUCAUUCUCUGGACAACUGCAAAACAACAGUGC
Long non-coding RNA from Boleophthalmus pectinirostris (great blue-spotted mudskipper), 271 nucleotides. RefSeq lists it as uncharacterized. Lineage: Eukaryota; Metazoa; Chordata; Actinopteri; Gobiiformes; Gobiidae. The transcript is spliced from 3 exons. The record is from RefSeq and is a predicted model, not a curated record.